Molecule: long non-coding RNA, 1140 nt
Filed under: Gallus gallus (chicken)
Lineage: Eukaryota; Metazoa; Chordata; Aves; Galliformes; Phasianidae
Source: RNAcentral
CCCAUCUCUGUCCUUCCCCCGCCCCCAGCUCCUCCCAUUUCCACUACAGCAACAUCGCUGCGAGGCCACACAGGCGCGGACACUGGGGGCAAAAAUAGCCCCCAAGCAGCAGGCGCGGCUCCGGCUGCCGUUUUCCACACGCGUGCGGCCCGGAUCCUUACGAGCAAGCGCAACGAAACGCCUCUCGUUCCAUAGGCGCACUGUGCGCUUGGGACCCAGGCUGGGCGGAGUGGCGAGCUGAGGGGCCCAGCGCUGUAUCGUUCUCGCACACACACCUGCCGGGGAAGGGCCGAAGGGAACGCGAUGUGUUCUCUUCUGACAGCACCUCGGAGCCGAACGCAGGGACCAGCAGCUGUGCUGCCGGCCACCACCGAAGGCCAAACCCCCAGCAGCACCUCCAGGCGCACCUUCCCCGCGGGGCAGCCCCUCGGCUUUAUCCGUGUCUCUCACAGGCGGCCCCGCAGCCCCAGCACGUCCCAGCUGUAAGGUCACCUGGCGCUGCCGUCGGGCCAGGCCGCCUCCGGGGGCCGCGACGCGCCGGGCCGGGCCGGGCCGAGCCGCUCCGCGCGGGCAGCCCGAGAGAGGGGGCAGGGCCAUGGGCUGCGGGGCCACUUACCAGGUCUAUGAAGGUCAGAAAUUUCCAGCUGCCUCCAUAGGUCUGAUGCGCGGGCAUGUCAAUGGCCUUGUAAUUGCACAGGAUGGAGCAGUAGGACAGGAGGAUGGCGGCGCGCAGCACCUGGCAGGGCACCAGCGCCAUGUUGCACGCUGCAGGGGCGGCCUCGGCGGCGGCGGCGGGCUCACAGCCAGCGCGCUGCACUUCCCCAAGUGCCGGCGUGCCCGGCUGUCCGCGGGCCGGGCGGGACGGCCUCCCAACGCCGGGCCGGGGCGGAGCGCGGCGCGGCGUCUGCUGGUGCCGGUUGGGGCCGGGCCGGGCGGCGGCGGCGCGGGCGGCGGGGUGGGCGCGCUCCCGAGCUCCGUGCCCGGUCGUGCGGGACGGGGCCGCGCUGCUCCCGAGGGGCGGUGGAAGCGCGGGGCUGCCUCAGGUGGGCUGCGCAGGUGUCGCCGCGCUGGGUGGGGAGGGCUGCCGGCCUGACGCGGGUACUGCUCUGGGGAGGUCGUAGCGUGGGAACAGUGCUGCUA